GUUCAAUCAGCAGUCAUGAGAUCUUUGGUGUUCCUGGUGCUCCUUGGAGCCGCCUUUGCUCUGGAUGAUGACAAGAUUGUUGGUGGAUAUGAAUGCGAGCCCUAAUCCCAGGCCUGGCAGGCAUCUCUGAACAUUGGCUACCACUUCUGCGGUGGCUCUCUGGUCAGCGAGUACUGGGUUGUGUCUGCUGCUCACUGCUACAAGUCACGCAUUGAGGUCCGUUUGGGCGAGCACAACAUCGCACUUAAUGAGGGAACUGAGCAGUUCAUCUCCUCUGAGAAGGUCAUCCGCCACCCCAACUAUGACUCCUGGACCAUUGACAGUGACAUCAUGCUGAUCAAGCUUAGCAAGCCCGCUACCCUCAAUCAGUACGUGCAGACUGUGGCCCUGCCCACUGGCUGUGCCGCCGAUGGCACCAUGUGCAGAGUUACUGGCUGGGGAAACACCAUGAGCUCCACUGCUGAUUCCAACAAGCUUCAGUGUCUGGAGAUCCCCAUCCUGUCCGACCGCGACUGCAAGAACUCCUACCCUGGUAUGAUCACCGAUACCAUGUUCUGCGCUGGAUACCUGGAGGGAGGAAAGGACUCUUGCCAGGGUGACUCUGGUGGCCCUGUGGUGUGUAACGGUCAGCUGCACGGUAUUGUGUCCUGGGGUUAUGGCUGUGCUGAGAAGAAUCAUCCUGGUGUCUAUGGCAAGGUCUGCAUGUUCAGCCAAUGGAUCGCCGACACCAUGAGCAGCAACUGGAUUACCAGCUUUCUGACAGACAGGCAGAAGCUCGUAAAGCUGGGAAAAUUCUCAUCCAGUAAACGCACCAUCAGCACUGGCGUCCCUCAGGGAUUUCUCCUCUCUCCUCUGCUCUUCUCCCCAGACACGAACGACUGCACUUCAAAGGACCCCUCUACAGGUCAUUUGGGGCUAACUGGUCAUUGGCGGCCAACUGACAGUCCCAUAAAUACAGGUAAGAGAGAGCCCUUCAUCAAACAGGUUAAAUCUGCAAUCAUGAGGUCUUUGGUGUUCCUGGUGCUCCUUGGAGCUGCCUUUGCUCUGGAUGAUGACAAGAUUGUUGGUGGAUAUGAAUGCGAGCCCUAUUCCCAGCCCUGGCAGGUGUCUCUGAACUCUGGCUACCACUUCUGCGGUGGCUCUCUGGUCAACGAGUACUGGGUUGUGUCUGCUGGUCACUGCUACAUGUCACGCCUUGAGGUCCGUUUGGGCGAGCACAACAUCGCACUUAAUGAGGGAACUGAGCAGUUCAUCUCCUCUGAGAAGGUCAUCUCCCACCCCAGUUAUGACUACUGGACCCUUGACAGUGACAUCAUGCUGAUCAAGCUUAGCAAGCCCGCUACCCUCAAUCAGUACGUGCAGCCUGUGGCCCUGCCCAGUGGCUGUGCCGCCGAUGGCACCAUGUGCAGAGUUACUGGCUGGGGAAACACCAUGAGCUCCACUGCUGAUUCCAACAAGCUUCAGUGUCUGGAGAUCCCCAUCCUGUCCGACAGCGACUGCAAGAACUCCUACCCUGGUAUGAUCACCGAUACCAUGUUCUGCGCUGGAUACCUGGAGGGAGGAAAGGACUCUUGCCAGGGUGACUCUGGUGGCCCUGUGGUGUGUAACGGUCAGCUGCACGGUAUUGUGUCCUGGGGUUAUGGCUGUGCUGAGAAGAAUCAUCCUGGUGUCUAUGGCAAGGUCUGCAUGUUCAGCCAAUGGAUCGCCGACACCAUGAGUAGAAACUAAAGCUGAUUCAACAUCACAAACACCCUUUAAAUCUGCAAUCCAUCAGUUUUUAUUUUUGUAGAUUAAAAACCUGCAUGAAAAUAAAAGCAUUUUAAAUACUC
Carassius auratus (goldfish) is the source of this 1829-nucleotide RNA transcript. It is a transcript of the gene named transmembrane protease serine 9-like, with no coding region annotated. The record is from RefSeq and is a predicted model, not a curated record. Lineage: Eukaryota; Metazoa; Chordata; Actinopteri; Cypriniformes; Cyprinidae. The transcript has 13 exons.